AAUUGUUCUGCUUGCUUCAGAGCAGAGGCUCCGCAGCCCUUUCCAGACCUCUCCCAAGCGUGGAAAUGGACGAAGGGCUGGAUGGGGCUCAGAGGGGAGGUCAGGCGGGACUCCCUCAGACAGCAGCUGGGGUUCCUCUGUUCCAGGCCCAGCUCUCACUGAAACAGGAGAGGGUGUGAAGGAAUGGAUUUGGAACUGUCAAGAACUCCUUCCUUAGUGGGCAGUGGAGGAGUGUCCACUGGCCUGCAGCCAGGCACCUCUCUCCCCCAGCCUGG
This 275-nucleotide long non-coding RNA is filed under the name Homo sapiens (human). RNAcentral's name for it is "long non-coding RNA NONHSAT149068.1". Lineage: Eukaryota; Metazoa; Chordata; Mammalia; Primates; Hominidae. The record is from RNAcentral.